CUUUACUUGGGAAUAGAGAGGGGAAACAUAGCAUGUCACAAGAGCGAGGUGAGGUUUGGAACUCUACUGCGAGAGGGACGCCUCGCGAGCCGGGCUUUUAGAGAUGAGGCCUUUUGGCGAAGCCAAGUCAAUUUCGGGCCACCAAACCCUGCAACUGAUGAAAAGGCCCUAUGGGAUGGAGAU
This is a long non-coding RNA of Helianthus annuus (common sunflower), 183 nucleotides long. RefSeq lists it as uncharacterized. The record is from RefSeq and is a predicted model, not a curated record. The transcript is spliced from 3 exons. NCBI's taxonomy places the organism in Eukaryota, Viridiplantae, Streptophyta, Magnoliopsida, Asterales, Asteraceae.